This 793-nucleotide long non-coding RNA is filed under the name Lupinus angustifolius (narrow-leaved blue lupine). RNAcentral's name for it is "long non-coding RNA (LANG_LNC000534)". The record is from RNAcentral. Lineage: Eukaryota; Viridiplantae; Streptophyta; Magnoliopsida; Fabales; Fabaceae.
UCAUAAACAUAUACUAUAUACAACUUGCGGAAGAUAUGCUCCCCAAACUUGCAGCCAAAGAUAUUGGCUUGAUGUAUAUGACAACUUGUAACCAACUAAUAACUAAACAAUUACUAAUUUCAUAUUCCUGAUACAUUAUUGUCAACCCCAACUCAUUUAUAUAAGCAAAUGAAAUGAAACAUUCUUAACUCAACGAUUGUGGAGAGGGUCUGAUGCAUUAGGAACUUUCCUCUUCUCUGAGGCAAAAACAUCAAAUGGGUACUUUGGAACUUGUUCUUGAUGCUGCAGCAGCUUCUUCUGCCUCAAUUGCUUCUCUUGCGUAUUUGGUUUCUGGUUGCUGAGGCCAACAACUGAUUCUUCCUUUUCUCCACAGACUAAGAAUGUAAGCAAAACAAAAAACAGUACCCUCUUCAAACCCCCAACAUGAAUGCAAUGACGAAAAUGCAUGUUUUGUUGCCUUCAGAGGAGGGUGUGAGGAUACUGAAGGAUACAUAUAAUGGGUGCAGAUAGAUAUGCAGAGAAGGUUGAAAAAGUUAGGGAGAAUAAUAAAAGCUAAAUGCACUUGAUGAUAAAGAUAUGAGAGGAAAAGCUAAUAGGCUUUGUUUGGGAAGUGUAGAAGGAAAAAAGUGAUCCAGUGUGUUCAUUGAGUAUACCCUGCAAACAAGGGGCACAUCUCUCGAAAGGACUUUUUCUAACUUUUGCUUUAAUGUAGUAUUCUGUGUCUUCACGAGAACCUUUUAUUUGAGUUUGGUUCUCUUCUUCUAUAAUAGGAUUAGAAUUUAAAAUAUGUGCA